UACGCGAAUUCCCGAGAAGAGCUUAGUGGAUGGCGCUAUGUGAAACGCGUGUGCCCUUCUGGGCGCCUGGAGUCCUGACAAGUCUCUCUUGCGGGUCGAAAGAUUUCGUCACUCUGCUCCCUGAAACGACAGUGUUGCGGCAAGGCGUCUCCCAUUGUUUCAGGCGUGCAGCCUUGAUUUCCUUUUACGUCAACAGAUUCAGAACCGUACCAAAUAUUUCACCGUGAAGCAUAAAUAUGCCACUUAUCCACUGU
Molecule: long non-coding RNA, 254 nt
Organism: Rhipicephalus microplus (southern cattle tick)
Lineage: Eukaryota; Metazoa; Arthropoda; Arachnida; Ixodida; Ixodidae
Source: RefSeq, a predicted model, not a curated record